GUGUUUGAGGGUUACAACAAGGCAUAAGCCUGGGCUCGAGAGUUGUCGGCGAGAUUCCUAGUUCUAGCAACCCUAAGACGACUAAACCUAAUUGAGUCGCAGCUCGAAAUAACAAAAACGGAAAUAUGCCUAAAUUGCUCUACGUGCUAAGUUUGCUCUGAUAAAGUUCUCCUCCCAUUGCCUCUCGCCUAGGACUCCUUAUAUACCCACUCCAAGGUCGGUUUACGCUUUUACUCUUCUGCCCUUAAGCCGUCAUAGCAAAAAAUAAAGAUAUUCCACUUUUUCCGAUCUUCGUAAUUAUCUUCAAAAUUCCGUAUUUAUCCGCGGAAACUUGACAUUUAUCUUCCCUUGCGAACCAAGCGUAAACCGUCCUAUGGUUUACGGGCUUUUGGUUGAGAAAUCGCGAGAUGGGCCUCGAGUCGUGUCUUAGGUCCCUUUGGGCCGUCUUUCGACUCGAAACGUUUAUCGCGAUUUCUUUCGAUAAAGAAUGGACUUUCCGCGGUUUUUUCCGCAAAGUUUGAUCGAUGAUUUAGAAUGGCGGAAAACAUGAGCUGAGUUCGCCAUGGUCUUCGGUAGAUAGUGUCGAAGGAUAGACGAGAAUGCAUGGACUGGUGUCGUAUCGAUGUUUCGGAAGAGUUCGGUCGCUACAUAACGACCGAACAGAACGCACGCUCGGUUGUGCACAAUGACCGAGCUUGGUUUUUCCGUGUUCUUAUUGUCAUACUCGAACUUAUCCGUAAUUGGUUUGGGUAUGUUUCCGAUGGCUUAUGUUUGAUCUAAAUGAAGUUCGAGAUGAAACUUCAUCUCGAAAAGCUAUGUUGCGGAGAGUCAUACAUAUAUAUUGCGGGGAUUUGGACGUUAACUUCGUCGUGACCGUUUUUGACCCCAAUAGGGUUUCUGGUGCUGCGAACUCUGGUUGAAGUUGCCCCUAUUUCCAUAGGAGUUUCUGUUUCGACCCUGGUUUCCAUAACCUUGGAAUCAUGUUCCACUGAUGAAGUUCACAUCUGCUUCCUCUGUUCUACCCUAUGUGUCCACAGCCUCUGUUUCGACCCUGGUGACUUUGCUCUCUCAAAUUAGAGAUUCAAUUGUAGUACUUAGGGAUCGAAUCCACAAGGAGCUAGGGAACCUAAUAAAUCUAUUAGGGUUUGUUAAGUAGGAUGGUUUAAUGAUUUAAAUGUAAAUUUAAAAGGAAAUUACUCCAUUGAUUUGUUGAGGUUUUGGUGCUUAAAAGGAAAUAGCUAGACCUAGAGUUUUUAUUCGGAAAACUUGGAAUUAUAAUCCUACAAAUGCCUAAUGAGUUGUAUGCAUGAUAAUGUAGAGCUCAACUACUAAAUAUAAAGUCAAUCAGCUCUCGCGUUUCUGGACUGGUCUAUUAAUUAGAUCUAAUGACCCAAACAAGCGUGUUCGAUCAAUAGCUAGUGUCGAUCGAUAAUCCUAUAGGGAUAUCGAUUGAUAUACCUUUCACUCCGUCGAUCGAUACUCCUUUCACUUCGUCGAUCGAUUAUCCAAUUUGGAUAUCAAUCGACGCGCUUCUAGUUAAGCUUGAUGCGCGGGUUGAAUGAUGCUCACAAAGCUCACUAGAUCAGCUCUCGCCUUACUCUUGCAAGAAUCUUAGCUCAAUUAUAAUGGUUUCAAGAUGAGAAUGAAGUUAUUGCUUUUAUCGAACAAUCAUAGGGCAAGUUCUAGGUAGCUAAUCUAGAAUCAGGCAUUAAGGACAAUCCUAAUAAUUAUUAUCACAACUCAGCUAUCUAUAGUUGGGGCUAAUCCCUGAUAACCUAUUUAAACCCUAAAAUGUAACAAUGGAACUACUGAGACAUGGCCAAGCAUUUCAUAACUUCAAUUAGGUAAGAAAACUUCAUUAGCAUAGUAAAUAGACAUUAAUGGAGUUCCAAUCACAAAUAUAACUUUGGAUCUUCUCUCCACUCUAUCAAAAUCUUAAAAACCUUUUGCUAAUAAUAGUAAAACUAGAAAAAGAAGAAAACAAAUUUUUCCUCUAACCUGGUGGCAAAGCUUAUAUAAUUAGGCUAAAACUCGUCAAGGGUAAUCUUGUAAAUUGGUGAAGACUUGGGCUUCAAGUCGGCUGUGACCAAACAUGCUUUAUGUGCGCUUCGCUGUCGAUCGAUGUUAUGAUGUGAACAUCGAUCGAUAUUUCCCUCAGUAUCGACCGAUGGUCGAGCUCGAUGGUCAUCUCGGGUGCUUGCUCCAAAUAUCUUCAAAAUGCUCCAAAAUCAUCACUUAUUUCCAAAUUACUCCUGAUCUUACAAAUAUAAUAAAUAGACUCUAUAAUAUAAUAAUUAGUAGUAAAAACACCUGUAAACAAUGGGUCAAAUCCAUGGUCUAUAAAACACCAAGAACACUGACUUUGAGAGAAAAAAAAUAAGCCCCUGCCCUAGGGAAGGAUCAAUUGGAAGUUGUCAAAGCCAAGCUGGACAGUGUUCACAAGCUUGUCAAGAAACAAGUUAGCUUUACAGAGGAUGUAGAAGCUGUUGAUGUCAACAGCGACAUGGGAGAAGAAGAGGAUGUGAACUUUAUCAAUGGUUCAGGCUUUCAGAAUCAGAGGUGAAGUGAUCCUUGGUAAGAUGAUCACGUCCUUGAAUGCUCUCCAACGAUUGUAAUGAUGAAAAUAGGCAGUGGAUUGAUUUGAUACUUCUAAGAGUUGCGGAAUUGGCUCUCAGACUAUCGGAUUUAGUUGUAAUGUAAGGAUCGAAGAUCCGAAUUACACUAGACAAGAUGUGAUCAAUCAAGAUUCAGAGAAUGCUUUGAAAAGAAAAUAGUUUGAUAAUCUUAUUGAGUUUUCGACCAGAUAUAUAAAGAGAAGAAGACUUUACAUGCACAGCUUCUUGGAAACACACAACUUAAUUAAUGCAAAUAAAGCUUAAAGUUCAAAUUUAAAAGAUAAGCUUAUGGAUCCUUCUUUAUGGACGAAAAUUAGAAGAGAGUUGGGCCUGGUUUCAUCAAAAGGCUCAUGUGUAGUGUUGUGUCCAAGCCUCAUUAAAAACCUUGUUUGGAAAACCCAGUUGGACAAAACCAAACUAAGGAUAAGAGUGCAAGUCACAACACCUCUCUAGAUGAAUGAGCUAGGCGGCUUGAAUCACAACUAGUAAGGUUGGAUCAUCAGUUUUCCACUCAUCACCCUUUUUCAUUCUAACCUGGUGAUAUGCACUUUUCAAAUCAACUUUAGAAAAUAUGCUAGAACCAUGCAACUCAUCAAGCAUAUCAUCUAAUUUAGGAAUGGGAUGUCGAUACUUUACAGUGACAUUAUUGAUGGCUUUGCAGUCGACACACAUUCUCCAGCUACCAUCUCUCUUUAGUACAAGCAAGACUGGGACUGCACAUGGACUCAUGCUCUCACAAAUAUGUUUUUUCUCCAUAAGCUCAGUUACUUGUUUCUGUAGUUCCUUGGUCUCCACAGGGUUAGUCCUAUAGGCUGGGUUGUUUGGAAGUGAAGCUCUUGGAAUAAAAUCGAUUUGAUGCUCUAUCCCUCUGAUAGGUGACGUCCUUGUGGUGCUUCUUCUGGAAGAUGUCUUUGAAUUUCUGCAAAAGCAUUUGUAUCUUGCUAGGAAGAUCCUGCACUAGCCUUGUUAUGUUUAAACAUUCUUUAAAAACAAACAGCAAGUGAGGUAAAGAACUUCCCUUUGGUUGAAGCAAUAGAUUAGCAAGUCGUUUACUCUUGAAUUCUGAUGAAGCUUUGUUCUUCUUCAAAGCUAUCUGAUCUUGAUGGACUUGUUGCAGUGUUAAAGGAACUAAGACAGUCUUCUUUCCCUGUUUGUGAACUCAUCAUGAAGACUUCUUCUAUCGGAUUGCCAAGGUCUUCCAAGCAGUAUGUGUCCAGCAUCCAUUGGUAAACAUCACACAAUAUCUCAUCAUCAUACUUCCCAAUAGGUGGUAUCUUGACUUGGUGUUUCACCUCCAGCUCUCCUUCAUCAUUAAGCCAUUGUAACUUGUAGGUUGUUGGUGUUUUCAUGAUCUUCAGAUCAAGUUUCUCAACCAUCGUUUCACUUGCAGCAUUGGUACAACUUCCUCCAUCUAUAACCAAACUGCACACCUUGCCUUGAACCAUACAUCGAGUAUGAAACAGAUUUGCUCUUUGCUCAUCUCCAACAGUCUUGGCUUGCAGAUUCACCGUUCUUCUUGCGACAAGUAACUCUCCACGAUCUGGCAUUUCCACCCUUUCUUCUUCAGAUUCAGAUUGUUCCUCUUCCUCUGAUUCAAUUUCUCCAUUUUCUCUGAUGAGUAUUACCCUUUGGUUGGAGCAGCUACUUCCAUUGUGUCCAAAACCUUUACACUUGUAACACUGUAUGUCAAUGGUUUUAGAUGCAUGUUGGGGUCAAAAAUGGUUACGACGGAAUUACCAUCCGAAAAUCCUCAGAGAUCGUAUUUUCGAAAGGGUUAAAGAAGGGAUGUAAUUUUUCGUCGAAAUAAACUAUACGAGGUUAUUUCUACGAAGAAGUAUUCUUUGGGAUUCAAACCAAACGAUCGUCCCGCUCGGUCGCUACGUAGCAACCAAGCUCAAGCCAAAGCUCGGUCGCUACGUAGCGACCGAGCAAUCGUUUCGCUCGGUCGCUACAUAGCGACCGGGCUCGAGCCAAAGUUCGGUCGCUGUGUAGCGAUUGAACCUUUCCGAACAUCGAUACGACACCAGUCCUUGCAUUCUCGUCAAACCUUCGAAUGCUAUCUCCCGAAGACCGUAGCAAGCUCAGUCUAUGUUUCCCGCUAUUCUAAUUCAUCGAUCAAACUUCGCGGAUUAGAAACCGCGGAAAACUCGUAGUAAACGUGUCGAGUCGGAAGACGGCCCAAAGGGACCUAAAACACGACUCGAGGCCCAUCCUACGAUUUUUCCUAACCAAAAGCCCGUGAACCACAGCAUGGUUCGCGCUUGGCCCGCGAGGAAGGAUAAAUGUCAAGUUUCCGCGGAUAAAUACGGAAGUUUUGAAGAUAAUUGUGAAGAUCGGGAAAAAUGGAAUAUCUCCAUUUUUAUGCUAUGACGGCUUAAGGGCAGAAGAGUAAAAGCGUAAACCGACCUUGGAGCUAGUAUAUAAGGAGUCCUAGGCGAGGAGCAGAGGAGAGAACUUUUUCAGAGCAAACUUAGCACUUAGAGCAAUUUAGGCAAUUUUCCGUUUUUGUUAUUUCGAGCUGCGACUCAAUUAGGUUUAGCCGUCUUAGGGUUGCUAGAACUAGGAAUCUCGCCGACAGCUCUCGAGCCCAGGCUUAUACCUUGUUGUAACGCUCAUACGCAGAUUCGGAAUAAGAUCUACUUUGCUCUCUUUUCGAUUUCUUAUUUUUAUCGUUGUUAUUCUCGUGUUCUGAUUGCUUGACGUGUGGUAAUUAACAGAUAUCCGGGUCCUCUGGGAAACUAGGGUUUUCUUAGUUUCCUUAUUUAAACGGAAAUCGACAGUGCGAAUUUCGGUUCCCACAGUUUGGCGCUAGAAGGAGGGGGCCUUACGGAUCAAUCUAACCCGCAAAAGCCACACACAAUCAGACAUGUCAACCAACGACGCGGAUAACGUGCAAACUCCUCUUAACGGAGGCAGCGGCACCGAUCUCCACACUCCAGUAGCGGACGUAUCCGCGGCCAACGCACAAGCCAACGCCGCGACGCUCGAGGAGUUUAAAAAGAUGUUCGCCACCUAUGAGAAAAGGUCGGAAGAACAGGAUAAGCUCGUGAAUACCUUGACCAAACAGGUUGAAACCUUAACGGCAAGGACCCAAGCUAUCCGUCCCCGCGGAACCACCAAAAUCCGCGGGAAGAGGCUCGACUUCGCUACCCCACUCGACAGAUCAGGAGUCGCGCGGGAACGACCUUCCGGUCAAAACCCUAGCGAGAAAUCUCCCAUCGAAAAGGGGAACUCUGAAAGUCUUCCGCCCCCUGCAAAGGACUCGGAGGAUAACGAAGCCGAACACAUUGACCUGGAUCCUAGCGAUGUCUCCAACGACACCGACGAGGAUGUCGACAGACAUCCAAGAAGGACCAGAAGCCGAUCCGCUCGGGAAGGCUCCCCGUUCGAAAAACCAAUGACGGAAGAAGAAGAAGUCGCCUAUUGGAACGAACAAGAGGAGCUGGCCGAAAGGCAAACCGAGCUCACUCGCAGUAAGCGCCGACAGGCUCGGAAAUCCACUGACGAGACAUCGGAUAUCCGCGAUCUUCGCGACUACAUCACCAAGACUGCGGCAGAAGUGAGAGCCGUAAAGUCUCAAAUCCAUCAUGCUACUAGUGCUGCCCCCGAGAUCGAUCGACUGCUGGAAGGAGCUCGAAAGACCCCCUUUACCAGUCGCAUUUCGGACAUGAGGGUGUCCGAUCCGGGAAAGAUCAAAGUACCGAAGUACGAUGGUACGGCCGAUCCGAAAGCGCACCUUCAGGCUUUCCACAUCGCGAUGGGAAGAGCAAGACUGAAGGACGGCGAAAAGGAUGCCGGCUAUUGCCGCCUGUUCGUCGAAAAUCUUGAAGGAGCAGCGCUCGAAUGGUUCGCACGCCUUCGUCGCAACACCAUCGGGAGUUUUCGACAGCUCGCAUCGGAAUUCCUCAAACAGUACUCUGUAUUCAUAGACAGGGAAACCUCCGAUGUUGAUCUCUGGAGUCUCUCCCAGAGGGAAGACGAACCCCUCCGCGAGUUUAUCAGUCGGUUCAAACUGAUAAUGUCCAGGGUCAGCGGGAUAAGCGACAAAGUGGCCAUCGACGCGCUGAGAAAGACGCUCUGGUACAAGUCGAAAUUCAGAAAAUGGAUAACUCUCGACAAACCGCGAACGAUCCAGGACGCCCUCCACAAAGCAACGGACUAUAUCAUAGUGGAGGAAGAAACUAAAGUCUUAUCGCAAAAACAUAAGCCGGCAAGACCAUCCUCGAAAGACGCAGAUCCGAAGGGGAAAAAGAAGAACUCUCGUAACGACAAGUACGUCCAUCACGAGGGGGAAGAUCUCCAAGGGGCGCAUAACUAUGCGAUCAAUUCGGAUCAAGGCCGGACCACGGGCAACACAUGGACUCGCAAUCAAGGGUAUGACGAGAACACCUUCUGCGAGUUCCACCAAUCCCGAGGACACUCCACGACUAAUUGCAAAGUCUUAGGAGCAAGACUGGCCGCGAAGCUGCUCGCUGGAGAGCUUUCGGAAGUAACUAGCGUCAAGGAUCUCAUCCUCGAUUCUGAUCGGCCUCCAAAGACGGACAGAAAUCCGCCCGCCGAAAAAUCUCCUCAACGAAACCAACCUGGGGAUAAACGCGGUAGGAGGCCGGAUGACAAAGGGAACGAUAACAAUCGUCGCAGAGUCAAUAUGAUCAUCGGAGGAUCUCAAUACUGCGGCGAUACCGUGUCAGCCAUCAAGGCUUACCAACGGAAGGCAGAAUCAAGCGCAAAUUGGCCUACAUGGUCUCCUCCUCGAGACGGCCAAAGUUGCUCGAUCACCUUCACGGAGGAAGAAGCCGGCGGUAUCGACCAACCUCACUGCGACCCGCUCGUCAUAGAUCUCGUCAUACGAGAUUUAGAAGUCGGAAGGGUACUCGUCGAUACGGGAAGCACGGUCAACGUAAUCUUCCGCGACACUCUCAAGCGGAUGAGUAUCGAACUCGGAGAGGUAAUUCCGACGCCAAAACCACUCACGGGUUUUUCAGGCGAAGUGUCGAUGACUCUCGGAUCAAUCCAAUUGCCAGUCAUGGCCAAGGAGAUCACGAAAAUCGUCGAAUUCGCGGUAGUCGACCAUCCCGCUAUCUACAACGUGAUCAUGGGAACCCCAUGGCUCAACGCCAUGCAGGCAGUUCCGUCAACUUACCACCUGGGUCUCAAGUUCCCAACGCCGAGCGGAGUCGCGGCCAUCUGGGGAUGCCAAAAACAGUCGCGACUAUGCUUCCUCGCGGAGCAUAAGUUAAGGCAAAUCACGGCUUCUGCAAACGGCAAACGCGCGAAGAUAGAUCGAUCUUCGGCCAAAAGCGCCCCGCACAAGGACGAAGUAAAAUCGUCUGUCAACGCAAACGCAUCGGACGUCGAAGCUCGACAUAAAUCCGAAGCCCACGCGACAACUCAACCGGAACAUCCGGAAAAUAGCGUCGACCCAGCCACGAUCGACACGGUCAAGGCGGACAUCGCGACACCAACCGCCGAGUAAGAACACUCGCGGCAUGAAACAGAACUACGAGAUGGCUUGAUCCUCGAAAGGGGUACGUAGGCAGCUUGUCAAAAGACGAGUUCAGCUAUCCCCCUCUCUAAAAAGGGGGGGGGAGUGGGUGCGUAUACUCGUAUACUCCCACAAUCGCCAUUAUUGUAAUCGAGUUUUUAGAAACAUAAAAUUUUUUACAAUAUACACUGUCUUUUUAUCGAAAACGCUUACGCUUCAGUUUACGCUCGUCUGCGGCCUCAUCCGGCCCAAAAAUCGUAAAGAUUAUCACCUUUAAUACACGCAUAAUCCUCGAAAAUAACUGCGAGACGUCGCAAAAAGUUAAAAUUCGAGGACAAUGCUAAACAAAUUGUCCGAACGCGACCACCAAAAACCUUACACCCCGUUCGUCGAUUGGCCCCGACGAACACGCCAGCCGUCUUAAACAAACGCAAUCCGAUCACUCUUUUGAUCUUUAAAAACGUCCAGCACAAGGACAAAAGCGCGCUACAACAAAAAUCCGAAAUUUUGGUUUAGCACUUCCAGUUGAUUCUGAGAAGAUGCUCGAUUCGUACCAUACAAGUCAUAUAAGCCGAGAACAUAUCGCGGACUUUAAACCGGUGCGAGUCAGGAAGAAAUCGCAACAGGAAAAACGAUAGCCGGCUAGUCACCGCACAAACCUUAACCGAAAGUAAACCUAGGUCUUGCCCUAAACCCAACGCUCUGGUCUCAAACAUCUCAAGGCAUGAUAUCUAAAAGAUACGAGAUCAUAAACCAUGCCUCUCCGUUCGUAUCUCAAUGUUCUCGAAAAUCGUAAAGACAGAUAAAUUUUUACGAAAAUCACGAACGAACCAACAGAUUGAACGUCUAAUUAGAACUACAUACGAGACGACAACUCGUAUUUACUUCAACCCUACUCAGGAAAAACUCGAAACGAAACAUUUAUCAUAUAAAUAAACCGCGUAAAGCGGCAAGGGAUUCAAAGCCACCAACGGCCAGUCCCGGAAAUACAAAUACGGCCAUCGUGGCCUAAACGAAAUCCAAAUUCAAAGGGCCAUAUUCGGCCGAAAACAAGGAUAACUGAUCCAUCCCUCAUAAUCCAAAGUCGAAGUCCCCGGACAACGAAGCACCAAACGCAUCCGCAGGACGAUCCACUUCCUCGCCACCGCCGUGAAAAUCGAUCGGGACCUCCUCGGUAUCAGGAGAAACCGGGAUGGAAUCCCAGAACCCUUGAAUCCUCUCGUCGAUCGGAGGGAUAAGCGCCUCAGCGUGGGCACGGUCACUCAUCCCACUCUUCAUCAAGCUCAUUUCUUCUUCAAACACAUAGUCGUCGGCUUGCGUCCUCCAAAGACUUCCGACCGAACCACGGCACUCGCGAAAGUCGCCCACCGAGGUAAAGGCAUUCUUAAGAUUCCCGUACUCAACCUGGAACUGAGAUGCGCGAGUCUUCAUCACCUCGACGAUCUCUCUUUUGCCUUUCCUCUCCGAUCUGCGAACAGCCCGCGCAUGAUCACGAGUAAGCUGUGCCUCUCGCUCCAGCAUCUCGCCUUGCACGCGGGCGAGAUCCCGCUCCGCUUUCUCCGCCUUGAAGCGGUAGACCAUGGCUUCUCUAUGACCCGCCUCGAUGGCCGAGCCCAGCAAGCUCAGGCCCUGCAAAAUCAAUAGGCGUGUUACAAAUCCAUACAUAGGACAAUCACUUAAAAAUUCCCAAGAAAAAAACUAACCCCAUUGAUGAUGCGAGAUCCUUCCGCAACAACUCUCGGCCUCGCCGAUUCUUUCGUAGGAGGAGGAGCAUCGAAACCCGAUGGCAGCCCAGCAAAGAAAUCAUCGAAGUCCGGAAUGGGGGCUUCGCUCGAACCGCUUCCGUCGCCGUAAGCAAGGUUCGGAUCCCAUCCUGGAAGCAUAGAGUCAUCCAUCGAAAACUCUAUGUCGCCGAGAUCGACGUCUUUUCCCUUCCAAGAGCUCGACUCCGGCGCGGCUGUCGGAACUUCAACGGGACUCUGGCCGUCGGGUUCGGAGUCGCUUCCCGUAUCCGCGUCCAAAGCUGGACUAGGGUGCACAAAUUUCAGCGCCUUCCGAACCCUUCUCGGCGUGAAAGAAGUCCAGAAGAAGGGACCAUUCCUGAGAAGAUCCCUCACCGCGAUAAUAUCCUCAGGGAACGGAGCAAGAGGAUUGAUGAAGGGACGAUUGUUCGGCAACCUCCGGAACAGUGGAAUGCAACUCUCUUCGACGGACGCAGCGUCCAAACGAACAAAGAAAAAGAACUUCUUCCACGAGUUGAAGUUCGAAAUGAACUUCUUAACCACCGACAUAAAUUUCCGAGGGACAAACCUAUGCUUAUCCGUAUCCUUGACAAGUUGAAGCCUCAAAAGCGCUUCAUAAUGAUCGACGGAAAGGGAAAGGCCAUGCUCAUAGCUUAGGAUCAAGAUCCCAAUAAGGUGCUGAAUGGCAAGGGGUGUCAACUGACUUAUCGCGACUUCAAAACGGUCCAACACUCGGACGAGAAUUUCGGGUAUGGGGAACCAGAGGCGACAACGCACUAUGAACACCUCAUAACAAGUAAAGUAACCCUCCGGGGGGUUGUUAGCACAUUCCCCGCGGCAGGGAACCCGGAACUACACAACAUCCGGGAUGUGGUAGAACGACCGCAUCGUCGCGAGAAACUCGUCAGUNNNNNNNNNNNNNNNNNNNNNNNNNNNNNNNNNNNNNNNNNNNNNNNNNNNNNNNNNNNNNNNNNNNNNNNNNNNNNNNNNNNNNNNNNNNNNNNNNNNNNNNNNNNNNNNNNNNNNNNNNNNNNNNNNNNNNNNNNNNNNNNNNNNNNNNNNNNNNNNNNNNNNNNNNNNNNNNNNNNNNNNNNNNNNNNNNNNNNNNNNNNNNNNNNNNNNNNNNNNNNNNNNNNNNNNNNNNNNNNNNNNNNNNNNNNNNNNNNNNNNNNNNNNNNNNNNNNNNNNNNNNNNNNNNNNNNNNNNNNNNNNNNNNNNNNNNNNNNNNNNNNNNNNNNNNNNNNNNNNNNNNNNNNNNNNNNNNNNNNNNNNNNNNNNNNNNNNNNNNNNNNNNNNNNNNNNNNNNNNNNNNNNNNNNNNNNNNNNNNNNNNNNNNNNNNNNNNNNNNNNNNNNNNNNNNNNNNNNNNNNNNNNNNNNNNNNNNNNNNNNNNNNNNNNNNNNNNNNNNNNNNNNNNNNNNNNNNNNNNNNNNNNNNNNNNNNNNNNNNNNNNNNNNNNNNNNNNNNNNNNNNNNNNNNNNNNNNNNNNNNNNNNNNNNNNNNNNNNNNNNNNNNNNNNNNNNNNNNNNNNNNNNNNNNNNNNNNNNNNNNNNNNNNNNNNNNNNNNNNNNNNNNNNNNNNNNNNNNNNNNNNNNNNNNNNNNNNNNNNNNNNNNNNNNNNNNNNNNNNNNNNNNNNNNNNNNNNNNNNNNNNNNNNNNNNNNNNNNNNNNNNNNNNNNNNNNNNNNNNNNNNNNNNNNNNNNNNNNNNNNNNNNNNNNNNNNNNNNNNNNNNNNNNNNNNNNNNNNNNNNNNNNNNNNNNNNNNNNNNNNNNNNNNNNNNNNNNNNNNNNNNNNNNNNNNNNNNNNNNNNNNNNNNNNNNNNNNNNNNNNNGGAAGGAUAAAUGUCAAGUUUCCGCGGAUAAAUACGGAAGUUUUGAAGAUAAUUGUGAAGAUCGGGAAAAAUGGAAUAUCUCCAUUUUUAUGCUAUGACGGCUUAAGGGCAGAAGAGUAAAAGCGUAAACCGACCUUGGAGCUAGUAUAUAAGGAGUCCUAGGCGAGGAGCAGAAGAGAGAACUUUUUCAGAGCAAACUUAGCACUUAGAGCGAUUUAGGCAACUUUCCGUUUUUGUUAUUUCGAGCUGCGACUCAAUUAGGUUUAGCCGUCUUAGGGUUGCUAGAACUAGGAAUCUCGCCGACAGCUCUCGAGCCCAGGCUUAUACCUUGUUGUAACGCUCAGACGCAGAUUCGGAAUAAGAUCUAUUUUGCUCUCUUUUCGAUUUCUUAUUUUUAUCGUUGUUAUUCUCGUGUUCUGAUUGCUUGACGUGUGGUAAUUAACAGAUAUCCGGGUCCUCUGGGAAACUAGGGUUUUCUUAGUUUCCUUAUUUAAACGGAAAUCGACAGUGCGAAUUUCGGUUCCCACAAUGCAGUGGCUACUUCCUUUAUUUAAUACACUGUUCCUCCACUCUAGGCUUGAAGAAUGUUUUGGAUUCACUGGUUUUUUUGUCCUUCUGGUAGUGUGGCUUGCUGGCUCCAUAGCUAGACUUGUAACUUCUUCGUUUUAGCUGCUGCUCAGACAUGAAUGCUUUAUGUAUAAGUUCCUCCAUCUCGACUUGGUAAUGAACUUUAAGUUUGUCCAUGAUGUGGCUUAGACCACCCAUGAAUCUGGCCAUUGUUGCUUCUCUGUCUUGUUGUAUGUCAGCUCUCAGCAUAAGGGUUUCCAUCUCCUUAUAAUAUUCUUCAACUGAUCUACUUCCUUGAGACAGUGUCCUGAGCAUGAAGUGCAGCUCUCUAUGGUAGUGGUUUGGUACAAAUCUCUUUCUCAUGAUCACCUUCAUUUUGUUCCAUGUUUCAACAGGAAAAUAUCCAGCCCUUCUUCUUGCUGUAACCAAGUUAUCCCACCAACUUAGUGCAUACUCUUUGAACUCAGUAGGAGCAAGCUUCAUCUUGUACUCUUGAGUGUAGUUUCUGCAAUUGAACACAAGUUCAAUCUUCUUUUCACACUCUAAAUACUCUUAUUGUUCAGCAGUGCCUUUAAACUCAGGAAUCUUCAGUUUCAAACCACCCAGAGGAUCAUUGGUUUGUGGCCUAUCUCCUAUGUCUUGCCUUCUUCUUCUGGAGCCACAGGAUCGGUUUGAAUGGCUAUAGUAGCUUUCUGUAGCAGGUUGGUUUGCAAUUCUUCUGGGUCUUUCCCGAUCUGAAUGCACAAUCUCAGCCAUGAAGUUCUAUAGUCUCUGAUCCAUAAAAGUAAUCAUGCAUGCAGUCAAAGCAUCGAGUAGCAGUUGAUCCAUUCCAUUGUUCCAAUUGUGUUUUUCUCCCAUGGUUCCUGUUGAUUUUCCAAACACAAACCCAGCAAAAGAGAUCACAUAAACAUAAUAUACCAGAAAGUAAUAGAAUUGAAUCUAGAAUAAUCAGAUUCCAAUUUUGCAAUAAAAACCCUAAUUUUUUUCUCUCUACAAUUUUAUGAAUCUAGUUCACUUAUUUAGCAAUUUCAACACUUGUUCUAGGUAGAUCUGAUCAUAAUAAAUAUGAAUCUAACAAGAUCUGGAUAGAUUAAUCACGAAUCUAAGAAGAUCUAAACUUUAGAACGGAUCUGAUAACAAAAUACGAAAAGUCUAAAAGUUGCAAGUCUAAAAGUUGCAAAACUGAAAAAAAAACACAACCUGAUGAUGGAGAUCUGCUUUGAUACCACUUGGUGUGAUCCUGGAUAAGAUGAUCAUGUCCAUGAAUGCUCUCCAACGAUUGCGAUGAUGAAACAAGUAGUGGAUUGAGAUGAUACUUCUCAGAGUUGCGGAAUGGCUCCUAGACUAUCUGAGUUUGCUUGUAGAUGUAGAAACGAGAUCAUAACAUGAACAAGACAAACAAUGAUCAAACAAGAUUCAGAGAUAAUUUUUAACAGAAAAGAGUUUGAUAAUCUUAUUGAGUUUUUAACCAGAUAUAUAAAGAGAAGAAGACUGUACAUGCACAACUUCUUGGAAACACACAACUUAAUUAAUGCAAAUAAAAACUAGAGUUCAAAUUUAAAAGAUAAGCUUCUAGAUCCUUCUUUAUGGACAAAAAUUAGAAGAGAUAUUGGUCUGGUUUCAUUAAGAGGCUCAUGUGUAGUGUUGUGUCCAAGCGUCAUUAAAAACCUUGUUUGGAAAACCCAGUGGGACAAAACCAAACCAAGGAAAAGAGUGCAAGUCACAACAACUCUCUUGAUGAAUGAGCUAGGCGGCUUAAAUCACAACCAGUGUGGCUGGAUCAGCACACUCUAGACUGCCAUGGAUAGUGUGUAGGAGUUGGUGAAGAGCUUGCUGGAACCUUGGUUGCUUAAACCUACUCAACGGACCAAGUGGUACGUUUAAAACGUCAGAAUGACAUCCACGGGGUUGCAUCCAUAGAAUUGUAUCGACUGGAUUGCAUCUAUUUUGUAGCAUCCACCGAGUCACAUUCUUUGACUUCCUUAAGUUUUGGUACAAGUUGUUCUAUCUCCUUAGUUGCAUUAGUUCCUUUGCUUGGCAAGAUCACAUCAAGAGGUCUGGAAAUUAGAGUGGAUACAAAACCUCCCAUGGCAAAGGCCAGAAGAGUGGAUACAACCAGAGUUCACAAUACCAGAAACCCUACAGCAACAACUACAACAUCAUCAACAAACCCUAUGGAAAUUCCUACUACCAAAAUCAACCACAACAGACUAGAGAGAGCAAGAUAGAGCCCAUGCUUGAUCAAGUUCUUGAGGGUCAGCAGAAGUUGAUGGUGAAUUUCAAUGGGAAGAUAGUUGUUGUCUACUCAGAGCUGAACACAAAGUUUGAGUCUUUGAACACAUAUGUUUGGAAGUUGGAGACACAAGUGGUUAAGACUGCAGACACUAUUAAACGGUAGGAAGCCUUCAUGAAGGGUAAAGGAGAUGAAAGCACCACGUGAAUGUCAUCAUAGAUGAUGAUUUCUGGCAAGUGGUUAAGGAGCAGAAGCUUCAGGAGGGCGACUUCCAAGUCGAAAGCUCCAUGAGUUUCGACGGUUCACAUUGGUGUCGAUCGACGCCGAGCUUUGAAUAUCGACUGACGUACAUCGAUCGAUAAAAGAGGUUGCAGCAUGCACGACAGUCAGAAUCCUAACUCACGAGGAGUGCGCAGCUAAACACCCUCAUCCACCCAGACCCUGCCGUAUCAAGAAGUCUGACAUCGAUCAACAACCGGAUCCAGCCGAAGAUUGACAUCCACAUUCAACCGACGAUCGACGCAAUGCAUCUACCGUCGAUCGACGACAACCUCUGACCUACCAAGUGCCAUUACUAAAGAUAGAUGUAGCACGACUAAAAACACUCAGAAACCCAUCUCAACCUUCAGAAGACAUGGCAGAUAACUUCGAACAGCUUUCAGAUGAUGCACUAGAGACAAUGCAAGUUGAUCAGAUUUCUGAGAGGAGAACCUUGAGGAAAAAAAAGGAAAAGGAUCCUAAGCAUCUCAAGCGACGAGUUAACGAGAAGGAGAUGGACAGCUUCACCAAAAGAGUUCUCCGGAUACCCUUGGACAAGCCAUUCGAGGAGGCUUACCUUACCCACAGGCAAUGGAUGUUUUUCAGGGAAACCAAGGAAACUGAGCAGGACAUACAUAUGAUCUUCGACCAGAUCAGAGAGAAGAUGAAGCAAAGAAUUACACUGAAGAAGAAUAGUGAUCCUAGGAAAUUUACAGUACCUUGAUUGGUUAAGGGUAUUGAAUUUCCAUGUGCGAUGUGUGACACAGGUUCAUCAGUCAGCAUACUACCCAAGGUAAUGGAAGACCAUAUGGGUUUGAAGAUAGAGCCAUCGUAGGAUUUGUGGAUUAUUCUACGAGGAACUCAGGAGGAAUCAUCAAAGACCUUGAGGUGCAGAUUGAAAACGCACUAGUUCCAGUUGACUUCCAUGUCCUGGAAAACAAGCAGAAAAAGAAUCAUUCUCUACUGCUUGGGAGAGGUUUCAUGGCCACUGUAGGAGCAGUUUGCAACAUGCAGACAAAUCAGUUAUGUCUGACACUAAUAAAUCCUGAUGUCCACUAUGAUCCAGUCAGAGUUAUGAGACUACGGACGUCUGACACUAGGGUUAACACAUAAUUCAUUGCAGUAUGCUACUUCAAUUAUGAGGAUGAAUACGAAACCUAGUAUUCAGGAUCGAUAGACAGCGGGACUUCACCUUCGAUCGAUAUUGACAUUAAUCUACCGAUCGACAACAAGUCCAAAGAAUCGAUCGACAGUAUUCUUGCGAAUUAGACUUUCACUUUGCUAUCACACUGCUAUCCGCGCUUUGACGUUGCUACACAGCCCCAGACAGCGAUUGAUUACCACUACGGUGACACGAUCAGCAAACAAGGCAAUUAUUCUAUUGGUAGUUGGGCAUAGGAGAGCUUUCAUUAGAGUUUCGCAGUGAACACUGAACUACCUGAGACGAGAUCUGAUGAGUAUGACGAGGACUACCACAGAGAGAAGAACAUUGAGUACCAUCUUGCCAUGGAUAAUAGAGGACUUCUCCAUACAUCGUCUGUAGAUGUAACGUCAACAUUGAUCGACAGCAAGCCUAUGCCAUCGAUCGACAGCAAGCCUAUGCCAUCGAUCGACGUCAAAACCGGAAACCAGAGAGGAGCAGAUGCAACACUUUUUGCCCUAACCUAUAGAUAAGGAAUCUGUCUCAGCCGUCAGCCGCCAACGAUCGACAGCAGCAACAACCCAUCGACCGUCAUUCGUUACAAACAUCUAUCCGAAGACCAUUUGAAUAAUAAUACUGAUUACUAUAUAAUUCCUGAUGAAUUUGGUAUUUUCAGAGAUUCAGCAGAACGAGCACGAGGGAUGGAAGUAUCCUCAAUGUUUCAAAGGAAGAUUUUGCAGAAAUUUUUGCCAUGCAUGGAUCCGACCUCUUUUUCCAACCGAGGAAAGAAUCUGCUAUUCGACCAUCGAUUGACAGAAGAUCCUUUUCAUCGAUAGACGGUUUGGCCACGCCAUAGCAAAACAGCUACAACAAAUCAGAGAUUGAUGAGCUAGUAAAUGAAACCUACAAAGUUAUCAGAACGUCAGACAAUUUUCUUUCAAAGAGGCUUGAUGACAUCUACUACCCGUUCGACAACAGUAUCAAUUGGUUGACCACAUGCAUGGAUGAGAUGAAGCAAAACCUAUCCAUUCUUCAGAAACAACAUGAAGUCGGUGAAGAUAGAUUGAAAUCGAUCGACACUCACACUCAACCAUCGAUCAACGCUAACAUCUAAGCAUCGAUCAAUGAAGGACUAGCACCAUUCGAAGAUAGGCUACAAUCAUUCACCUAUCAACUAGAUGGUGUUUACCACCCACUACGUGAUGGUGUAGACUUCCUAACCACACGCCUGGACGCUUUGCAAUAGGAGAUGGUUAUGAUUCAGAGAUAACUCGAUUCUCAAGCAGAACCGUCACCAUCGAUCGACAGAAGAACUCUACCAUCGAUCGACGACGACUACACAACAAGACGAAGCAAGCUAGUUAUCGAGAAGUCACUACAAAAUAAGUUUGAUGAGACCACUUUCUCUCAAGACUUGCUGAAAGAAGAUGUCUACCAGGAGCUGAAGGACAUCACAGAAACAACAUAUGCCAGACUUGGAAUGCAACAUUACAACAUUGGGAAUCAUCAGCAUAUAAUGCAUGCAAGUGAGAUUGCUAGAGAAAGAUUGAAGAAUCAAUGGUUCAGAGGAGAUGAGGCCAUAAGAAGCUUCAUUGGCACUUGGUUCCAGAUGAGCAAAGAUGAAGUGGACACUUGCAUACAACCAAGUGGUCACUUUGAUCAUUACUAGCCAAAAGCAACCUCCAAAGUCAAGCUAAAUGACUAUAACAAAGCACUAAGUGGGAGGCAACCCACUAUUAGGUAUUUUCUAUAGCUUUAUUUAUUCUAUGUUAUUUAAUUACGUUUUUACGUUAUUGAAGGUCUAAAAAAAUAGAAAACCAGAAAACCUAAAAAAGAAAACCAAGGAGAGGUUACUUGUCAUCGACCGAUGAGACAAGGUCGACAUCGAUCGACAUCACGUCACUUGCACCGAUCGAUAGACACAUUCUUGUGUCGAUCGACAUCAACAUCAGCAAUUAGGUAUAUCGUUCUCCUUGUUACAUUAAGUACUUAUGAUUUAUAUUAUCACUAAACUUCGGCUAGAUAUACGCUGGUGACAGUAUAAUUUAAGUCUGGGGAUGAGGAGGUUUACUAAUAUUAUUUACCAAUGAGUUUUAAAAAUGUUUUUAUAAAGUUUUAUUAAGUCAAGAAAGAGAAAAUGAACUUCUACAAUGUUCCUUACUCAUCUAACAACUCUUUAGCACCAUUCUUUCAUUUAUUGACUGCAGAUUGUACUAGAGAUGCUAAAGUGGAUCAGCCUACCAGUUAUUCACACUUGCUGAGAAUGUUUGGAAAAACCAAAGCUGGCCUCCAACUUAAUCGAGCUUUGUUGGGGUCAAAAUCGGUUACGACGGAAUGAAUAGUGUUUUCCGACACAUGAUGAAUAGUGUUAUUCGAUGCUUGGUUCACGCUGUCGAUUGCUGUUGUUUGGAGGGUGUUGAUCAAUGCUUCCCUCGUAGGCUUACGGAUCAUGCAUGAAUCAGCAGGCUCCUCUUUGAAGAACCCAUAAAUCUUCUCUUCAUUGUUGUUGCUGGUAAUAAGAUGAAUGUACCUGAAACAAAAGAAAAAAAAUUAUCUGUUUUUGAACAAUAGUAAAACCUAGACUAAAUCUAACUAAAUAAGAUCUAAUGGUGAUUAAAGGGGCAACGGCGCCAAAUUUGAUAUCUCACUCAAAUUACCAUAAAGAGUGAUUUGUACUCUCUCAAAUAAGAGGUCAAGUUGUAGCACUUAGGGAUCAAAUUCACAGGGACUUAUAAGAUUAAGCUAGGUCAAAUGGUUUAAAUGUAAAUAGCAGUGGUGUGAGCAAAGUAAUUGCUCGAUUGAUUGGUUGGGGUUGGAUGGAAGGAUGGUUUGCUAGACUUAGGGUUUCUAUUCAGGCAAUCAGGAUUAUAUUAGUAUAGAGAUUAAGGUUGGAUAUUAUAGAACUCACACUAAGGAAUAAUCUAUCAACUCUCGCAUGUUUAGCUUAUCUAUUACUAAAUCUAAGAUCUCAGCUCUCGCUCUCGCAUGUUGAUCCUGAGAAAGUGUCGAUCACCGAUUCUAUAGGAAUGUCGAUCGAUACACCUUUCAAAUCAAGAUCGAUACUACUAACGAAUUGUCGAUCGACAACCCUUCUAGCAAGCUUUCGCGAGCGGGUUUCAACUCUGUUCACUAGGUUCCUAGAUCAAAUCUUGUCUUUCUCUAGUAAUCUUAGCACAAUAUAAAUGGUUCAUGUAAUAGACCAUGCUCUCGCUUGCGUCUAAUUAUCCUAACAACAUGAUUCUAAUUAGCUACUCUAGAACACAAGUAGUAAGUUCAAUCCAAUUGAUGGAUAUCCCAAAAAAUUAGCAAUUCUAUAUUUUGAGCUAAUCCCUCAUCCUAUCUGAACCCUAAAUCUAACAGGUGGAUUUAUUCAGACAUGAAGUUUGUCACAAAAAUCAUAGAUGAAUAUAUUCAAAAUAGAAAGCAAUAGAAUAUAAAAACCAAAGAAGUUCUAGGAGGACUCUGAAGGAGUUACUCCCUUCUCUCCUAACAUAAACUAAGAACAAGAUGUAAAGAAAGCGUAGCCGUCAACAAUGGCUUAGAAACACAAUAAAUAGUGUUUUAGGUCGUCCAUGGGUAUUCUGGUAAUUUGUGGUUGCUUCUGGGCUUAAUCCGGCCAUAUUUUAGAAUCACCAUCGAUCGAAACCAAGGGUGCACCGUCGAUCGAUGUUGCUUAAUCUCCUCGACAGCUUCCUCUCGUGAGGCAGACUGACCACUCUUCACCAAAAUGAACAUAACUUCUGCUACAGGAUGCUGAUUGAUCUCAAAUUGGUGGCAUUAGAAAGCUAACUAAAAUGUAUAUGUUGUGUCAAAAUAUCAGCUCAAUCUCACCAUGGGCAAGUCUCCAUACAUAGUUAGACAUCUGACAUGUAUGUGUAGUUCUGCACUCAAAGGGCUCCAAAACACCCCAAAAUCACCACUUUCCUCUAAAACAUACCUAAACCUGAAAAAAUACUAAAAAGACACCAAAACAACUAUAAUUUAUUUUAAAACACCUACAUUUCAUGCCUAAAUGUGGGUAAAAUCCAUGGUAUAUGAGCUGGAGACUGCUUGGGAAAACUACAAAAUGUCAGUUUUGUAUUUGACCAAAAUUUUGACUUCGUUGAAUAUGUUGGUUUUGUAUUUGAUUUAAAUGUUAAAAAAUUGACCAAAAUAAAAAAAAAAGUGUAGACUUCAUAUUCAGUAUACUAAUCUAAGAAUAAAAAACGGAGACCGCAUAUGAAGUCUACUAUUUUAUUUUGGUCAAAUGCAAAACUAAUCGGUCAGAAUUUGAUAGUAGACUUCAGGUGAAGUCUACACAUUUGUAGACCUUCAUCUCAAUCUGUAUGAACUUUAGAAAAUAUAAUUUAUAAGAUAAAAUAAUAGUAAAGUAAAUUAAUAGAGUUUGAAUAUGUAACUUUAUUUAAAUAUAAAUACAAAACACAUUUAUAAAUGUAAAUCUUUUAUUUUGAGGGGAGGAGAUAAAAACCAUGGAAGAAAUACAUGCAAAAUAAAUAUAAAAUUAUGAGAAAAAUAAACAUUAUACAAAAAAAAUUAAAGUUACCCUUGUUUUUGUAGACUUUUUUUGUAGACUUAAUGAAUCUACUAUAUCAUAUAAUUUUCAGAUAUGAAAAAUAUGUACAUUUGAAAAUGUGAAAAAUAGUUUAAAUCUGGAAAAAAACAUGAGAAUUAAAAAAAUUUUGUUUUUUUUUUUUUUGCAACAAACAUCUAUUCUAUUAGCUAUUCUAUUACUCAAACUUGAGGUGGUCUGGAUAACUAAACCGGAAUAGAACAACCAAUGUAACAAAGAGUCCUAUGAAAAGAUCUCGCAGGCUUAGCUAAAAAAUAUGAAAUUCCAUUUUUGUGUCCUUGGGAUAUGAGAUAUUUUGAAGUAUGAAAAACAUAUCAGCAGCGUCUUAAUAGCCUCCAAUUCUGUUGCAAAACUUGGCCAAACAUGAGAUAUUUUAUCAUGGCGAUCAAAUCCUUGCAGUCUAUUUCAAAGUGGUGACAUGAAGAAUAUUGUAGCAUGCUCUCCAUUCCCCAUCGCAUUGCUUCUAAUUCUGAAUGUAAAGGAGCCUCUUGCCUCCUUAAGUUUCGCGUUCCCAUGAGCUAAAUCUUUCAAUAACAAUCAUUCCAAACUCAUCCACGACCACUGAGCUGUGAGGUGGUAGUCCAUGAUCCAUCCACCAUGCAUAUAUUAUAACAUAAUUUUUAUAUUUAAAAAUAAAGCUCUUAGUAUUUUUUUUAUAAAACAGGUUUACCUAUUUUUGGUGAUAUAAUUUUUAUUUUCAUUUUCAAAAAAUAAUAUUUCAUUAUUAAUACUAUUUUAUGUUAUUUGCAUUAAUAAAUACCAAAGUUCAAAUUUUAAAUUCAUCGUUCGAGUUUUUAAAAGAUAAGUAAAAUCUAGAAAAAGUCAAAACCUAAAAAUUGAAAACAAAAUUCGUUUUUUUUUUGUCACAAACUGAAAACCAAAUUUUAAAAAGUAAAAACUAUGUAAACAGCUUAAAAUCUGCUUUGGAGAACAAGAAGACCAAAACAGCUGGAAGUUAUGGACACGGGCAUGUGGUUGUUUAUAUAAAUCGGUGAGAGAAUAGUGACUUCAUUAACUGCAUCCAUAUAAAGUUAUAGUUCUUUUUUUCUUUGUCAAAGAAUAGUGGCUUCAUUGUGGAACUGUGGCUUCAUUCACUUCAUCUAUACGUAAAGUCUUUAUAUCUGUACUUUGCACGGAACGGAAUGCAUGUUGUGUAUAUAAAUAAUUUUAGGAUUUUUUUUUGCAAAAUAAUUUAAAAGUUGAAGCAAAUAUAAAAAUAAUCUUUUACUUUUUUAUAUUUUACUAUUUAUCCAAAAGUUCAAUUUAUUCACGCAAAUACUAUUAUGUAUUAUUUAAGAAAAUGAUUUUUAACUAAGUGUUGAGAAUGUCCUAAAAUCAUUUGUACUUACUCUUGGUAAAGUUGUAACGUCAAGAUUCGACUAUCAUAUAAAAUAUUAGGUGGUUAUAAUGUUUUGCUAGAAACCACUUACAAUAUAUGAAUUGAGAAUUCAUUACUAAUAUUAUAUGAUCCUACAUGAUCACACACCUAAGCAAACUGGAAAAUAAUAAGUUGAAGUUUUAUAUAAAAUAUUAUAUAUAUGUGAUAUAUGUAAUACAUAUUAUAUACUUGGACGUGAGAUUCUGUGAGUUUCUUAAUGUGAUUAAGAAAAUAAACAAUUUGGACUUAGCCCAUUAUAAUGCCUAACGACAUUAGCUCACGUCUAUUAGUAUGUAUAUAUAUAAAGUCUUGCUUAUUGAAGAUUAACCUAAUGAAGAUGGCUGGCCGCACUUUACAAUCGAGACGUAAAGGAGUGAAGAAGAAAAUUGUUUUCUUCUUACGCAAGCAACAAUGAGUUCAUCAAAGUUUUGAGAUUUGAUAUCGACGACACUAGCAUCCCGAAUCACUCCAGUUUGUGUGCAUGUGGAUACCGGUAGAGAUACAACGUUUAGAGUGCUUUAAGUUUUGAUUUGGUUUUAUUAAUUCAUCUUUCUGUUGCAAAUAAUCAGGUAUAUUCGGAACCAUAAGAUCUAGAUUCAUUUCAGUAUUUACAUGAGAUCUAUGAAAACUAAAUUUAUAGGUUGAUUUAUAAAUCGUUAUAAACCCGUAUGAAUUCCAACAGUGGUAUCAGAGCCUUAGGGCCGUCUCAAAUUAAUUUUAGACCCUGUUCAAAAAAAAAUAUUAAUCGUAUAUUUUAUCAAGUAAUUUUAAAAUUUAAUAACUUUGUCUGAUUUUUUUAAUUAUAAACUCUAAAUUUAACAUUAUAUCUAAAAUUUUAAAGUUUCUGACCAUAAUUUAUCUAUAUAUUUUUUAAAAAUUUUAGACUUUUUUAUUUUUAUAUUUUGGGGCCCUGUUCGAUCGCUCCACUUGUGCAUGCUGUUAGAGCCUACUUGCAUAAUAUUGAUCUGAAUCUAGUCAGAUAGAUAUAUAUGAUAUAUUUAUUAAAACUGAUGUAGCGAUUUGGAUAGUUAUUAUAACUUGAUUAUAAUCAAUCGCUGUAUAAUAUUUUACAUACGAUUGAAAGUGUUUUGAUCACCUAUGUAAAUAUAUGAUUUAUAAGGGAUCACGUACUUCGUAGUUGCGUGAUUGCUAAAAUAAUUAAAUUAUGUGCAUAUGAGGGGAUCGUCCUCGUUCUUCUUAAUAGUCUCAAACUAUAACUUUCAUAAAUACUGAUUUAAGAAAUAGUCAAAAGUUCAUAGCUAAUAAACGUGUAUAGGAUACGGUUAUGCUAUGGCAGCUUGACAAUAUGUGUCUAUUUUAAUUUGUUAAAUAAUUACAUAUAUGUUUGAGACUAACUACGGAAAAUUCAAUACUACAUAUUAGCACGGCAUGAAUGAGAUAAAUAUGUUUGAUACGAUCAUUCGAUAUUUAUACAAUUAAUAUAUUCCUUGUGUAACAUCCCGAGUUGUGAUAUGUGAAAAGGCUUAAGAGAAUUGAUUUGGCUACCUAUGUCACCAAAGUUGACUUACCUUUUCCGGAGCACAUCCUGAAAGAACUCCAGAGUUAAGCGUACUUGAACUGGAGUAGUGGAAGGAUGGGUGACCUAUCGGGAAGUGAUUCGCGAUAGCGUGUGAGUGAGGCCAAAGCACGGGGAAAGGUCGGGUGGUGAUUGCAGGGUCAGUAAACAAUGAUUUCGGGCCUUGGAAAAUUAACGACCGGCCGUCAGAUGGGAUGGGACCCACGGGCCGAGAGAGCGGGCGUGGGUGGCCCAUUAGCCGUGGGCGGGUCGGGGUGUUACAAUUGGUAUCAGAGCGGGUUAAGAUCCCUUAGUUCUGUCCUAAGGGAUCAGCAUUUCCGACGUUUUAAAAAAAAAAACUUGUUUUCAUUAAAAGAAAAGAGUUUGUAAAAGUUUUGUAUCUUCUAACAUUCCUGAAAAUGAUUUCAAAACUACCCACUAUAUCUAUACGUUAUUAUGAUUUUGAUCAGAUCCAUUGUACUUGCAAAAUUUCUUUUUGAGCUUAAUUCAUUCAUUGGUUUUUAAAAGAUCCCCGAGCAAAGUUGUUCUCGCCUUGUGUGCCUCCCUUGUAUGAUGUGUGAUUGUGUGAGUUCCUUUUGUUAUCGGAUGUUAAGUUCGGAAGUCUAGGGCUUGGAAUUCGGGGACGAAUUCCGAUUAACAGGGGGGAAUUGUAACGGCCUGGUUCCUGGCCCAAAAAUUUUCAUAAAAGAAUGGGCUUCUCUACGGCCCAUUUGACAAACACCUAGGGUUCCCUUCAUCCUUUCCUAUAAAAAGAGAUGUAGCCCCUUCUUUUCUCUCAUUCUGAAACAUGAGCGAAGCUCUAUAGAGAUUUUGAGAGACUAGGAAACCCUAGCCAUCAAGCUUCUCUUUUCAUUUUCUCUCUUCUUCUCUCACGCCACUCUCUCUCUCUUUCUCUCUCUCUCUCUCUCUCUCUCUCCCUAUACUCUCUCUCCCCAUGGAUUUCUUCCUCUCACCUCGCCGCGAGUCCCCCGAGAGCAAGCCGAGCCGCCGGGGGUGUUCCAGAUCUGUUCAGAUCUCCUCUCCCUUGUCUCUUGUCUCCAGAUCCAGAUCCGGAUCUAGGCUAAGGUGGAGUGUCUCGAUCCCAACCUUCUUUCAUGAUUCUGUAUACUCCUAUAUGUUGGAGUUAGGUUUGAUUAGACCCUGAUUGGGAGUUAGGUUGAUAGGACAUGGUAUUGCUAGGAUGAUAGAUGAAUGGAUCAUGAUGCAUAAGAACCCUCAUACUGAUAAAUGGGACUUGAUGAACUGAAUUGAAUUGUUGUGGUGAUGAUUGAUUGGUAGUUGAUUCUUGUAUGUUUGGAUGUGUUGUCCCAUGUGUUGUUGUGAUUGAAGUUAGGAUGCUAGAGAGGAAUAAAUGCUAGGAUGAUAGAUGAGUAAUGAUUAUAAAAGUUAUUGAAGUAGAACUUGAAUGCGAUGUGUAUUGUGUGUGACACCGAUAACGGGUGGCGUCUAGUGAUUGAGUCCAAGUACAAGUAUGAAUGAAAAAGGAAAGUAAAUGAGAAUGGGAAGGGAUAAGUGAAAAUGAUAAGAAAGUGAGAGGAUAAGUAAAAGUAUGAAAGAAUGACGUUAAGGUUAAGCAUGGAUGGGAAAGCAUAUAGAGUCUAAGGAAAGUAUGUGGGGUAGUAGUCCACACUAGGUAUCCAUAGGAGAUGUGGCCAAUCCACAAGAAUAUGGA
RNAcentral lists this long non-coding RNA (25029 nucleotides) under Brassica napus (rape). RNAcentral's name for it is "long non-coding RNA (BNAP_LNC000884)". Lineage: Eukaryota; Viridiplantae; Streptophyta; Magnoliopsida; Brassicales; Brassicaceae. The record is from RNAcentral.